GGGUUGUGAGGUUAAGCGACUAAGCGUACACGGUGGAUGCCCUGGCAGUCAGAGGCGAUGAAGGACGUGCUAAUCUGCGAUAAGCGUCGGUGAGGUGAUAUGAACCGUUAUAACCGGCGAUUUCCGAAUGGGGAAACCCAGUGUGUUUCGACACACUAUCAUUAACUGAAUCCAUAGGUUAAUGAGGCGAACCGGGGGAACUGAAACAUCUAAGUACCCCGAGGAAAAGAAAUCAACCGAGAUUCCCCCAGUAGCGGCGAGCGAACGGGGAGGAGCCCAGAGCCUGMAUCAGUGUGYGUGUUAGUGGAAGCGUCUGGAAAGGCGCGCGAUACAGGGUGACAGCCACGUAMACAAAAAUGCACAUAUUGUGAGCYCGAUGAGUAGGGYGGGACGCGUGGCAUCAUGUCGGAAUAUGGGGGGACCAUGCUCAAAGGCUA
This 437-nucleotide ribosomal RNA is filed under the name Escherichia coli. RNAcentral describes it as "bacterial LSU rRNA". It matches the Rfam family "Bacterial large subunit ribosomal RNA", at positions 1 to 468 of the family's 2925-position model. Lineage: Bacteria; Pseudomonadati; Pseudomonadota; Gammaproteobacteria; Enterobacterales; Enterobacteriaceae. The record is from RNAcentral.